AAAAACAUCACCUCCAGCAUCCCUAGUAUUGGAGGCACUGCCUGCCCAGUGACAACUGUUUAACGGCCGCGGUAUCCUGACCGUGCAAAGGUAGCAUAAUCAUUUGUUCUCUAAAUAAGGACUUGUAUGAAUGGCCACACGAGGGUUUUACUGUCUCUUACUUCCAAUCAGUGAAAUUGACCUUCCCGUGAAGAGGCGGGAAUGCAUAAAUAAGACGAGAAGACCCUAUGGAGCUUUAACUAACCAACCCAAAGAAAAUAAAUUUAACCAUUGAGGAACAACAACAAUCUCCAUGAGUUGGUAGUUUCGGUUGGGGUGACCUCGGAGAAUAAAAAAUCCUCCGAACGAUUUUAAAGACUAGACCCACAAGUCAAAUCACUCUAUCGCUCAUUGAUCCAAAAAUUUGAUCAACGGAACAAGUUACCCUAGGGAUAACAGCGCAAUCCUAUUUAAGAGUCCAUAUCGACAAUAGGGUUUACGACCUCGAUGUUGGAUCAGGACAUCCUGAUGGUGCAACCGCUAUCAAAGGUUCGUUUGUUCAACGAUUAAAGUCCUACAUGAUCUG
Molecule: ribosomal RNA, 565 nt
Filed under: Bos grunniens (domestic yak)
Lineage: Eukaryota; Metazoa; Chordata; Mammalia; Artiodactyla; Bovidae
Description: partial 16S ribosomal RNA
Rfam family: Bacterial large subunit ribosomal RNA
Source: RNAcentral